AGUGAACGCUGGCGGUAGGCCUAACACAUGCAAGUCGAACGGCAGCACAGUAAGAGCUUGCUCUUACGGGUGGCGAGUGGCGGACGGGUGAGGAAUACAUCGGAAUCUACUUUUUCGUGGGGGAUAACGUAGGGAAACUUACGCUAAUACCGCAUACGACCUACGGGUGAAAGCAGGGGAUCUUCGGACCUUGCGCGAGUGAAUGAGCCGAUGUCGGAUUAGCUAGUUGGCGGGGUAAAGGCCCACCAAGGCGACGAUCCGUGGCUGGUCUGAGAGGAUGAACAGCGACACUGUAACUGAUAAACGUUCUAGACUCCGACGGGAGGCAUCAGUGGGGAAUAUUGGACAAUGGGAGCAAGCCUGAUCCAGCCAUACCGCGUGGGUGAAGAAGGCCUUCGGGUUGUAAAGUCCUUUUGUUGGGAAAGAAAAGCAGCUGGUUAAUACCCCGCUGUUCUGACGGUACCCAAAGAAUAAGCACCGGCUAACUUCGUG
Molecule: ribosomal RNA, 492 nt
Filed under: uncultured bacterium
Lineage: Bacteria
Description: partial 16S ribosomal RNA
Rfam family: Bacterial small subunit ribosomal RNA
Source: RNAcentral